Molecule: ribosomal RNA, 478 nt
Filed under: uncultured bacterium
Lineage: Bacteria
Description: partial 16S ribosomal RNA
Rfam family: Bacterial small subunit ribosomal RNA
Source: RNAcentral
GACGAACGCUGGCGGCGUGCUUAACACAUGCAAGUCGAACGGUAAGGCCCUUCGGGGUACACGAGUGGCGAACGGGUGAGUAACACGUGGGUGAUCUGCCCUGCACUUCAGGAUAAGCCUGGGAAACUGGGUCUAAUACCGGAUAGGACCACUGCCUGCAUGGGUGGUGGUGGAAAGCUUUUGCGGUGUGGGAUGGGCCCGCAGCCUAUCAGCUUGUUGGUGGGGUGAUGGCCUACCAAGGCGACGACGGGUAGCCGGCCUGAGAGGGUGACCGGCCACACUGGGACUGAGAUACGGCCCAGACCCCUACGGGAGGCAGCAGUGGGGAAUAUUGCACAAUGGGCGCAAGCCUGAUGCAGCGACGCCGCGUGAGGGAUGGCGGCCUUCGGGUUGUAAACCUCUUUCAGCAUCGACGAAGCGCAAGUGACGGUAGGUGCAGAAGAAGGACCGGCCAACUACGUGCCAGCCGCCGCAGUAA